Molecule: ribosomal RNA, 253 nt
Filed under: uncultured prokaryote
Description: partial 16S ribosomal RNA
Rfam family: Bacterial small subunit ribosomal RNA
Source: RNAcentral
ACGAGGGAUCCUAGCGUUGUUCGGAAUCAUUGGGCGUAAAGCGGGUGUAGGUGGCUUUGUAAGUCAGGUGUGAAAGCCUAGGGCUCAACCCUAGAAGUGCAUUUGAUACUGCAAAGCUUGAGUGCUAGAGAGGUUACUAGAAUUGUUGGUGUAGUGGUGAAAUACGUAGAUAUCAACAGGAAUACCGGUGGCGAAGGCGGGUAACUGGCUAGACACUGACACUCAGACCCGAAAGCGUGGGGAUCAAACAGGA